AGAGGUCACUGCCCGCGCGACUGAGGCUGAAGUGCGGGCAAGGGAGGCUGCUGAGGCUAGAGAUAGCCUGUCUUCCUCUUUGGAUCAGCUGAAGGCAUAUCGUGACUGGAUGCGUUACCACGGUAUCGGAAUAUUAUUGGAACCAUUCUUGAUGCGCCUGAGAACACAGCUGCUGUAAAUGAGCUUAAGGAGCGCGCGCGGGAGGCAGGAUUUAAGGCUACUUACAAUUGAUGCAUUACCCAUAUGAACCCCUUGUACCAAAGCAAAUUUACUGAUGAAAGGUCUGGGUUUCAAAGCGUAGAUACCGAAGCGCGGUAUGCUGCAGCUAUUACGGCGUAUAACGACCUAUCCAUUGCCGCUAUUAAUGAUAUUGAUAACUGCUUGGAGGCGGAGGAUUAUGUUGACCGCUUGCGGUUGUAGUAUGGUGAUCCGGAAGAGGAAGAGGAGCAAGCGGCCGCUGGCAGUGGCAAGGGUGAUGCGGGUACCAGUGGUACAAAGAAGGACUAGGUUGGCCAGCGUGCCCUUUUUGAUUUCCUCUUUGAUGUAAAUGUUAGAAAACUUUAUGUAAAUUUCUUGUGCACCGCGUAAGUGUAGAAAUUUUAUGAAAUACAAAGUUAAUCUUUUUAUUCAA
Long non-coding RNA from Helianthus annuus (common sunflower), 631 nucleotides. RefSeq lists it as uncharacterized. NCBI's taxonomy places the organism in Eukaryota, Viridiplantae, Streptophyta, Magnoliopsida, Asterales, Asteraceae. The transcript has 2 exons. The record is from RefSeq and is a predicted model, not a curated record.